GAGUACGGUCGCAAGAUUAAAACUCAAAGGAAUAGACGGGGACCCGCACAAGUGGUGGAGCAUGUGGUUUAAUUCGAAGAUACGCGAAGAACCUUACCUAGCCUUGACAUAUUUAAGAACACUUUAGAGAUAGAGUGGUGCCUUCGGGAGCUUUUAUACAGGUGCUGCACGGCUGUCGUCAGCUCGUGUCGUGAGAUGUUGGGUUAAGUCCCGCAACGAGCGCAACCCUCGUCACUAGUUACUAACGGUUCGGCCGAGGACUCUAGUGAGACUGCCUUCGCAAGGAGGAGGAAGGUGAGGACGACGUCAAGUCAUCAUGGCCCUUACGGCUAGGGCAACACACGUGCUACAAUGGCCAGGACAAUGAGAGGCAAUACCGCGAGGUGGAGCAAAUCUAUAAACCUGGUCUCAGUUCGGAUUGUUCUCUGCAACUCGAGAGCAUGAAGCUGGAAUCACUAGUAAUCGUAGAUCAGCUAUGCUACGGUGAAUACGUUCCCGGGUCUUGUACUCACCGCCCGUCACACCAUGGGAGUUGAUUUCACCCGAAGCGGGGAAGCUAAACUGGC
RNAcentral lists this ribosomal RNA (566 nucleotides) under uncultured Campylobacterota bacterium. RNAcentral's name for it is "bacterial SSU rRNA". It matches the Rfam family "Bacterial small subunit ribosomal RNA", at positions 878 to 1444 of the family's 1533-position model. The record is from RNAcentral. Lineage: Bacteria; Pseudomonadati; Campylobacterota.